GGCUCACAACGAACGCUGGCGUCGUGCCUAACACAUGCAAGUCGAACGGAGGCUGCGAGGGAGCUUGCUUUCUUGCGGACUUAGUGGCGGACGGGUGAGUAACACGUGGAUAACCUACCUGUAAGACCGGGAUAACAGCUGGAAACCGGUGCUAAUACCGGAUGAGCUAUUUGGGGGGCAUCCUCUGGAUAGGAAAGGAGGGAUCCGCUUACAGAUGGGUCCGCGGCCCAUUACCCAGCUGGUGGGGUAACGGCCUACCAGGGCGACGAUGGGUAGCCGGCCUGACAGGGUGGUCGGUCACUCUGGGACUGAGACACGGCCCACACUCCUACGGGAGGCAGCACUGGG
This 348-nucleotide ribosomal RNA is filed under the name uncultured Thermacetogenium sp. RNAcentral's name for it is "bacterial SSU rRNA". It matches the Rfam family "Bacterial small subunit ribosomal RNA", at positions 21 to 358 of the family's 1533-position model. Lineage: Bacteria; Bacillati; Bacillota; Clostridia; Thermoanaerobacterales; Thermoanaerobacteraceae. The record is from RNAcentral.